This 61-nucleotide transfer RNA is filed under the name Oncylocotis sp. PJ-2015. RNAcentral's name for it is "tRNA-Cys". The record is from RNAcentral. Lineage: Eukaryota; Metazoa; Arthropoda; Insecta; Hemiptera; Enicocephalidae.
AGUUUUAUAGUUAAAAAAUAAUAUAAAAUUGCAAAUUUUAAGUUGAUUAAAUCUAAAACUU